RNAcentral lists this long non-coding RNA (1438 nucleotides) under Penaeus japonicus. Its description in RNAcentral is "uncharacterized LOC122257476". The record is from RNAcentral. Lineage: Eukaryota; Metazoa; Arthropoda; Malacostraca; Decapoda; Penaeidae.
GAACAGGUUUCUUGGGCAGGGUGGAAGUACUUCGGCUGCAGCUCCCGACGUCACACCGGCGCCUGACUUAGCUUUCGAAGACUCCCAGCCACCGAUUCGGAGAAGUUUUAGGGCUACCAGUCUGGUCGCCGAAUGAAAAUCUUGGAUGCAUUCGUUCUUUCAUCGGGCCAGCAAAGUUUUCAAUGGCUAAUCCGGUAGAGAUGCAUCGAGUUCCCACAGUCAGGAAGGGGCCUGGAGAUCUACGUGUUGGUAGAGACUGCAGCCAGGGGGACAUUUGGAAACGGGCGACCGAUGUCCGUAGAUUUAUGUACGUAGAAGAGUGAUUUGAUUGUAAAAUAUAAAUAUAUUUAUUUUUCAUCAAUAUAAAAUGAAUUCUUGCAGUAUGUGAAUGUUUUAUAUUGAUUGUUAAAUGAUUAAUAUAUUUUAUAUGUAUUAACAUUCGGAGUAGAUGGGUCUGAAAAACUUGUAAAAUCAUUUUCCAAACUAUAUCAAUAAAUUCCCUACAUUACAAACAAACAUUAGAGAAAUGUACUGUAAUUUAGGUGAGGUUAGAGAAGGGACAUCAAAACUCCUCUAUUGUUUAGUGAAACAGCUAUCCAUAAUGUUUUUUCGAGACAAGGACACGCCCUUUACAUAUGGGAAAGACCGCGAUUGGCCUGUGGUUUGGAAAGCUCGACCAAUCACGUUUCAGGACACCGCGGUUGGUAGCGUCAUUCCAAAAAAAGCGAUGCAGUCCUCGAACUUGCAUUGAAAUUGUUCGAAUGCCUCCUCAACAUCCUAGAAAAUCAUCUAAAAAUAGAAAAUAUACUUCGCAGAAUAUCAAAUAUUACUCAAAGAUGAUAUAAAACGUGAACUCUUCCUUCUCAAAUUACAAAUCUGAUAUUUUUAGGCACGAUACCUUCCUCCUGAGAUGACAAUUACCAAACUGACAUGCAGGAAAUCGGACAAGGCCUUAGGCGACUCAAAGGCCAGGGCCAGAAAAUCUUUGCUGCAUUUGCCCAUUCAUCGGAGCUCCGAAGUUUUCAAUGGGAAGCGACCGUAGAGUGCAUAGUCUUCCCACGAAUGUAGAUGCAGCCUGAGAAAAUGGUCCAUAGAUGGCGUUGGCUCUCGGUCCUUUAGGGGUAUGCGGUUGAAAAGGUGAUAGAGUGUUGUUAUGGAUAUGUAUGUAGCCUUUAUUAGUUACUGUGUGAGAGUUGGUGUUCUGUGGAAAAAGUUUAUAGAUAUUUUUAUUGUGAUUUGUAUUUUUUUACAAUUAUAUUAAUUAAUACAUACGUAAAAAUGCAUUUUGUGUAUUGCAAGAACAUAUUUCAGAAAUAUUUAUUGACAUUUAAAUACUGAGACUGACUACAUGGCCGGCAAUGAACCUGUAAAGUGUCAGAUAAUCAAUAUAUCUUGAUAUUCCUUCCAGUCAAGUAAAGCUCAUUGAAGAAUAUAAAAA